Molecule: ribosomal RNA, 482 nt
Filed under: uncultured bacterium
Lineage: Bacteria
Description: partial 16S ribosomal RNA
Rfam family: Bacterial small subunit ribosomal RNA
Source: RNAcentral
GACGAACGCUGGCGGCGUGCUUAACACAUGCAAGUCGAACGAUGAAGAAGAGACACGCGAACUUCGGUUCAAAUUUCACUUCGGAUUAGUGGCAGACGGGUGAGUAACGCGUGAGCAACCUACCUCUUACAAAGGGAUAGCAUAGGGAAACCGUGAUUAAUACCAUAUGACACAUUCAUAAGGCAUCUUAAGAAUGUUAAAGCUACGGCGGUAAGAGAUGGGCUCGCGUCCCAUUAGCUAGUUGGUGAGGUAACGGCCCACCAAGGCGACGAUGGGUAACCGGCCUGAGAGGGUGAACGGUCACAUUGGAACUGAGACACGGUCCAAACUCCUACGGGAGGCAGCAGUGGGGAAUAUUGCACAAUGGAGGGAACUCUGAUGCAGCGACGCCGCGUGAGCGAUGAAGGAAUUCGUUUCGUAAAGCUCUGUUCUAUGGGAAGAAAAGGACGGUACCAGAGGAGAAAGCCCCGGCUAAAUACGUG